GGAUUCCCCUAGUAACUGCGAGUGAAGCGGGAAAAGCUCAAAUUUAAAAUCUGGCAGUCUUUGGCUGUCCGAGUUGUAAUCUGGAGAAGUGUUUUCCGCGCUGGACCGUGUACAAGUCUCUUGGAAUAGAGCGUCAUAGAGGGUGAGAAUCCCGUCUUUGACACGGACUACCAGUGCUUUGUGAUGCGCUUUCAAAGAGUCGAGUUGUUUGGGAAUGCAGCUCAAAAUGGGUGGUAAAUUCCAUCUAAAGCUAAAUAUUGGCGAGAGACCGAUAGCGAACAAGUACCGUGAGGGAAAGAUGAAAAGCACUUUGGAAAGAGAGUUAAACAGUACGUGAAAUUGCUGAAAGGGAAACGCUUGAAGUCAGUCGCGUUGUUCAGAACUCAGCCUGGCUUUGGCUUGGUGCAUUUUCUGAAUAACGGGCCAGCAUCAAUUUUGACUGUUGGAUAAAGGCUAGGGAAAUGUGGCUCCUUUGGGAGUGUUAUAGUCCUUGGUUGCAUACAAUGGUUGGGAUUGAGGAACUCAGCAUGCCUUUAUGGUCGGGGUUCGCCCACGUUCAUGCUUAGGAUGCUGGCGUAAUGGCUUUAAACGACCC
RNAcentral lists this small RNA (595 nucleotides) under Mycena sp. 7061003. RNAcentral describes it as "eukaryotic LSU rRNA". It matches the Rfam family "Eukaryotic large subunit ribosomal RNA", at positions 72 to 650 of the family's 3401-position model. Lineage: Eukaryota; Fungi; Basidiomycota; Agaricomycetes; Agaricales; Mycenaceae. The record is from RNAcentral.